RNAcentral lists this long non-coding RNA (1356 nucleotides) under Homo sapiens (human). Its description in RNAcentral is "HSALNT0110022". The record is from RNAcentral. Lineage: Eukaryota; Metazoa; Chordata; Mammalia; Primates; Hominidae.
UCUUGUAUGAGUUUUGCCAAACUGUGUCUUUCAAAGAAUCUGGCCAUUUCAUCUAGGUUAUUAAAUUUACAAGCAUAGUAUUUUUCAUAAUGUUCCUUUAUUAAUUUAUAACAUUUAUUAGACCUGUAAUAAUGUUCCCUCCUUCAUUUCUGAUAUUAAUAAUUUGUAUCCUCCCUCUUUUUUUCUUAGUCUAGCUAGAGGCUAGUUGAUUUUAUAGUUUUUUCAAGAAUAAACUUUUGGUUUCAUUGAUUUUUCUGUAUUAAUUUUAUUUGUUACUUCAUUGAUUUCUGCUGUAAUACUUUUUAUUUCAAUACUUCAUUUCUUCUCCUUUAUAACUAAUAAGAAAAAAAUUGAUAAUAAAACAAGAAGAAAUUGGCAAAUCCACACUCAUAGUGGAAGAUUUCAUACACUUCUCUCAAAAACCAACUAAACCAAUGGAACUAACCCUAAAAUAAGGAUCUAGGAGAGUUGAACAACAAAACAACAGCAAUAUAGAAUUAUGCCUCCAAAAAAGGGAAAGCAUAUGUUAUAUCUACAUAAGAGAAACCAUAUAUUAUAUAUACAAAAUGCUUAUCAUCAUUUUUUGCCCUAAUGGACAUAUUAACAAAUACCAAAUGACAACAACAAAGAAAACAGGCCAAACACAUUCAACAUAAUGGAAAACAAUGGAAAUCAACAACAUAAAUUGAGCUGAAAUUCAAACCAAAUCAUACUUCCUGUACUCAUUUCCCAGGGCUUCUAUAACAAAUUACCACAAACUAGGUGACUUCACAAAACAGAAAUUUAUUCUCUUACUAUUCUAGAGCCUAGAAGUUUAAAAUCAAGCUUUCUGCAAUGCUGUGUUCCUUCUGAAGAUGAGGGAAGAACUUUCUUCUUCUGUUUCUGGUAGCUCUAGGCAUUCCAUGGCUUGUGGUAGGAUAACUCCAACCUCCGCUUCUGCUUUCACAUAGCCUUUUCCUCUUCUCGCUUCAUUUCUCCUCUCUGUGUCCAAGCAAUGUUGCCUCUUCUUAGACCAUCCCUGAGUAUUAGUCACUUGUGAAAUGGGUGUCUUAAUCCAAGUAAGUAAAAAUGAAUGCUCCAGAGUGAAAUGCCACGUUUUUCCAAUCUAAUCCUUUAAUAAUAUUUUAUCUCCAUCAAUUUUCUAUUUUUCUAUUUCUCAAUCUACUUAUUUAAAAUUUGAAUUUUCCUUGUUGUAGCAGUAGAAACAUCACAUUGAAAUAACAUUGAAGACGGACUUAUUUAUUCUGGAAAUAUCUUUAAUGUGCCUUUUCAGUUCUGUAGAUAUAAAACAAUGUCAAAGAUAUUCUGAAAGAGAAAGCAUAUCAAGACAUUCCUUGCCUUUGAAAAACCAUGGGA